GAUGAACGCUGGCGGCGUGCUUAACACAUGCAAGUCGAACGGUGAAGCCCAGCUUGCUGGGUGGAUCAGUGGCGAACGGGUGAGUAACACGUGAGCAAUCUGCCCCUGACUCUGGGAUAAGCGCUGGAAACGGCGUCUAAUACUGGAUACGAGCCGUGAAGGCAUCUUCAACGGUUGGAAAGAUUUUUCGGUCAGGGAUGAGCUCGCGGCCUAUCAGCUUGUUGGUGAGGUAAUGGCUCACCAAGGCGUCGACGGGUAGCCGGCCUGAGAGGGUGACCGGCCACACUGGGACUGAGACACGGCCCAGACUCCUACGGGAGGCAGCAGUGGGGAAUAUUGCACAAUGGGCGCAAGCCUGAUGCAGCAACGCCGCGUGAGGGAUGACGGCCUUCGGGUUGUAAACCUCUUUUAGCAGGGAAGAAGCGAAAGUGACGGUACCUGCAGAAAGAGCGCCGGCUAACUACGUGCCAGCAGCCGCGGUAAUACGUAGGGCGCAAGCGUUAUCCGGAAUUAUUGGGCGUAAAGAGCUCGUAGGCGGUUUGUCGCGUCUGCUGUGAAAUCCCGAGGCUCAACCUCGGGUCUGCAGUGGGUACGGGCAGACUAGAGUGCGGUAGGGGAGAUUGGAAUUCCUGGUGUAGCGGUGGAAUGCGCAGAUAUCAGGAGGAACACCGAUGGCGAAGGCAGAUCUCUGGGCCGUAACUGACGCUGAGGAGCGAAAGGGUGGGGAGCAAACAGGCUUAGAUACCCUGGUAGUCCACCCCGUAAACGUUGGGAACUAGUUGUGGGGUCCAUUCCACGGAUUCCGUGACGCAGCUAACGCAUUAAGUUCCCCGCCUGGGGAGUACGGCCGCAAGGCUAAAACUCAAAGGAAUUGACGGGGACCCGCACAAGCGGCGGAGCAUGCGGAUUAAUUCGAUGCAACGCGAAGAACCUUACCAAGGCUUGACAUACACGAGAACGCUGCAGAAAUGUAGAACUCUUUGGACACUCGUGAACAGGUGGUGCAUGGUUGUCGUCAGCUCGUGUCGUGAGAUGUUGGGUUAAGUCCCGCAACGAGCGCAACCCUCGUUCUAUGUUGCCAGCACGUAAUGGUGGGAACUCAUGGGAUACUGCCGGGGUCAACUCGGAGGAAGGUGGGGAUGACGUCAAAUCAUCAUGCCCCUUAUGUCUUGGGCUUCACGCAUGCUACAAUGGCCGGUACAAAGGGCUGCGAUACCGUAAGGUGGAGCGAAUCCCAAAAAGCCGGUCCCAGUUCGGAUUGAGGUCUGCAACUCGACCUCAUGAAGUCGGAGUCGCUAGUAAUCGCAGAUCAGCAACGCUGCGGUGAAUACGUUCCCGGGUCUUGUACACACCGCCCGUCAAGUCAUGAAAGUCGGUAACACCUGAAGCCGGUGGCCCAACCCUUGUGGAGGGAGCCGUCGAAGGUGGGAUCGGUAAUUAGGACU
Molecule: ribosomal RNA, 1445 nt
Filed under: Microbacterium sp. ZT-2
Lineage: Bacteria; Bacillati; Actinomycetota; Actinomycetes; Micrococcales; Microbacteriaceae
Description: bacterial SSU rRNA
Rfam family: Bacterial small subunit ribosomal RNA
Source: RNAcentral